ACACACUUAUAUAAGCGUCCGCGGCGUCCAGCCAGAACUCUUAUCCUCUGGAGGCCAUGGCGGGGCUGCUCCGUUGCUUCCCUUCGCCGCCGCGCCUGAAGCCCACCGUGGUUCUCCGGCGGUUCGGUGGAGUCCUUACGUCGGAAAAAAUGGUGCCUCUCGCAUUUAGAAAGGAAAAGGUAGCAGUGUUUUCAAUUUGCGUUCGGGCAUCCGAGAAAUACCAAAUCCCAUCAAGCAGCAUGUUCACAUACUGUACCGGAGAUGUUUUUCCAGUGGCUAAUUCAAAGGAAGUUUAUGAUGAUGAUGGGAAAAUACCUGAUCUUUGCCAUGCCAUGAUGAAAUACAAAUCCAAGCAUCAGAAAGUUGUGUCACUCAACUUCCUGAGAGCAUUUGCUCUCACAAAUUCAUUGAUGCUCAUUCUGCCUUCUAAAGGUUUGGCAGAAACAUGCGAGGCCGAUAAUUCAUUUUUCAACAUGCCUCUGCUGUUUGCAAUAGCCAUGAUAGGGGCUACUGUUGGGGGACUUCUUGCACGGCAAAGAAGAGGUGAACUCAAGCGAUUGAAUGAUCAGCUACGCCAGAUUAAUGCGGCACUAAGAAGACAAGCAAAGAUAGAAUCCUAUGCUCCUAACUUGAGCUAUGCACCAGUUGGUAGUAGGAUGGCAGAAUCAGAAGUCAUUGUUGAUCCUAGGAAGGAGCAGUUAAUUAGCAAUCUGAGAACUGGGAAAAACUAUCUGAGAAGUCAAGAUCCAGAAAAGGCGUUUGCAGAGUUUAAGGCUGCUCUUGAACUUGCACAAGCUUUGGGAGAUUACGUUGAGGAGAAGAAGGCAGCCCGAGGAUUAGGAGCAAGUUGUUGCUAAACAUCUGCAAUCGCUAUUGGUGUGAUCACAUCAUUCCAGAGCGUUGAGGAAUAAAUUUGGACCAGAGUCCAAUUUUAUUAUCUGUAAACAAAUUUGGACGCUGCGCUUUCUCAGCAAGCAGUGUGGGCAAGCCAGCUCCGAAAUAGUACUCCUUGCAGUUACAGUGCAUUGCAGUGCGAUGAUAGCCACUUGAUAGAAGUUUACUGGCUUCGGGGCAUCUCUACAGAGACAGGGGAAGUACAGGGAAGCCAUAAAGUACCAUUCCUUGGUUUUGGAUAUAUCCAAGAGAGUAGGAGAGGAUUCUGGCAUCACGGAAGCUUAUGGAGCAAUAGC
Molecule: RNA transcript, 1190 nt
Organism: Phoenix dactylifera (date palm)
Lineage: Eukaryota; Viridiplantae; Streptophyta; Magnoliopsida; Arecales; Arecaceae
Gene name: protein FLUORESCENT IN BLUE LIGHT, chloroplastic
Source: RefSeq, a predicted model, not a curated record